UGCAGGGCGCCCGGCCGCUGCCCGAGGACGUGCUGCCGUUCGACGCUGCCAGCGAGGUGCCGCUGGAGCAGCAGAGGACGGAGGCCAUGCUGCGCAUUCAGGACCUGCUGCGGGCCGGCCAGCCGACCGGAGCCCUGGCAUUGAUCAGGGCCGCCAGGGAGGUGUGGCCGGCCGGGGACGUCUUCGGCGCGCCCGACAUCGCGCCCGAGGACGAGUUUCUGGCGCUGCGGGAGAUCCACU
Molecule: long non-coding RNA, 240 nt
Organism: Pollicipes pollicipes
Lineage: Eukaryota; Metazoa; Arthropoda; Thecostraca; Pollicipedomorpha; Pollicipedidae
Exons: 3
Source: RefSeq, a predicted model, not a curated record